Oreochromis niloticus (Nile tilapia) is the source of this 208-nucleotide long non-coding RNA. RefSeq lists it as uncharacterized. The transcript is spliced from 2 exons. The record is from RefSeq and is a predicted model, not a curated record. Lineage: Eukaryota; Metazoa; Chordata; Actinopteri; Cichliformes; Cichlidae.
UCAAGGUGGGAUUUCAAGAUGUUGUCAGAGAACCUCGAACACCCAAAUCCAUCGAGACCUUCUGAAGAGUUACUACAUCCAGCAGCCGCCGUCGUGUUCUAUACCUGCAGUGGUAUUCACCACAAUUAGUGGCAGGAGAAUCUGCUCAGACAGUACGAAAACAUGGACGCAGACCAGCAUGGCCUAUCUUGAUAGAAAGAACUGGCAA